RNAcentral lists this ribosomal RNA (465 nucleotides) under uncultured bacterium. Its description in RNAcentral is "partial 16S ribosomal RNA". It matches the Rfam family "Bacterial small subunit ribosomal RNA", at positions 28 to 507 of the family's 1533-position model. The record is from RNAcentral.
GACGAACGCUGGCGGCGUGCUUAACACAUGCAAGUCGAACGGUAAGGCUCCAGCUUGCUGGGGUACACGAGUGGCGAACGGGUGAGUAACACGUGGGUGACCUGCCCUGCACUUCGGGAUAAGCCUGGGAAACUGGGUCUAUUACCGGAUAGGACGGCACCUGGGGGGGGGGGGGGAAAGUUUUUUCGGUGUGGGAUGGGCCCGCGGCCUAUCAGCUUGUUGGUGGGGUAAUGGCCUACCAAGGCGGCGACGGGUAGCCGGCCUGAGAGGGUGGACGGCCACAUUGGGACUGAGACACGGCCCAGACUCCUACGGGAGGCAGCAGUGGGGAAUAUUGCACAAUGGGCGGAAGCCUGAUGCAGCGACGCCGCGUGGGGGAUGACGGCCUUCGGGUUGUAAACUCCUUUCACCAUCGACGAAGGGUUUCUGACGGUAGAUGGAGAAGAGGCACCGGCUAACUACGUG